Molecule: non-coding RNA, 72 nt
Organism: Ictidomys tridecemlineatus (thirteen-lined ground squirrel)
Lineage: Eukaryota; Metazoa; Chordata; Mammalia; Rodentia; Sciuridae
Source: Rfam
UGGGGUGUGGCUCAGCGGCAGAGUGCUUGCCUAGCGCAUGUGAGGCCCUGGGUUCGAUCCUCAGUACCACAU